AACUCACCUACACCAGGACAAACAAUAUGCGUCCCAAACUCAAGCUACAAAUACCCCACAUGCUCACUCCUCGUAACUCGUAACUGGCGAGCCUCUCAAUUGAUCUAAUACACUUAACUUAAGUAAUAAAAAAGGCUUAAAGAAAUAGUAAUAAGAGGCAAGUGAGACCGAAUUCUUUUUUCAUAAAUCGUGAAAGAUAUAGUGGACAUGGAGGGGAGAGAAGAAGAUGUGAGGGUGGGUGCAAAUAGGUACAUAGAGAGGCAACC
This 266-nucleotide long non-coding RNA is filed under the name Populus tremula. Its description in RNAcentral is "long non-coding RNA (PTRE_LNC002564)". Lineage: Eukaryota; Viridiplantae; Streptophyta; Magnoliopsida; Malpighiales; Salicaceae. The record is from RNAcentral.